Molecule: long non-coding RNA, 361 nt
Filed under: Ananas comosus (pineapple)
Lineage: Eukaryota; Viridiplantae; Streptophyta; Magnoliopsida; Poales; Bromeliaceae
Description: long non-coding RNA (ACOM_LNC011494)
Source: RNAcentral
AUUGUCAAACUGAACUAAAUGAUGGUCAAGGUCACCCUAUUUGGACGUCGCAAUAAGAUAUACAAUAAUAACUUAUUUUGAUAUUAAGAUUUUAAUGUGAAUAGAAGUUAGAAAUUUAAUUUUUACUCCUUAAAAGGUCAAUCUUGACAUCCGUAAUUUGGUAGGAUAGCAUAUUUCAUUAUCAGAUGAUUUAUCUUGAUAUUCUAAAAAUAUAAAUUGAAGACCUAAUAUGAUAUUCAUUCUAGACAUUUAAUCGCGUUUCUCAUUCACCAACUAUUAUAUAUAUGUUUCUUGCAUAAAUCAAAAAGAUAUACCGCAUAAGAUAUUCAUGCAUCUGGAUAGGGCCGUAAGGCAUAUAGUC